CACACACUCACUCACGCUGCAUCCCUCCCUUUCUAUUGCACUUAAGUCCAGAUUCUCUCUGACCAUUGCUGCUCACGAGCAGAGAGCGACGCAGCAUCACGGUGCCUAAGGACCAUAGAAAUUGCCACAGAGGUGGGGGCAAAGACCGUCUUCAAGGUUGUUGUCAUCCGGAAUUUUAUGUCCUUCAUUUUCUUCCACUCUGUAUGCCUGUCACAUCGGCUUAACUACAAGAGAAGACUCUGCUUGCCUUAAAGACUGACUGGUGUCUUCCAGCCUUAGUAGCUGAUGUAAAGAGAGACAAUGCUUCUUCUUACAAUCCUGGACUUACCCUGCAAGUCAUCUUGGAGAUUAGGAAGCCU
Molecule: long non-coding RNA, 359 nt
Organism: Passer domesticus (house sparrow)
Lineage: Eukaryota; Metazoa; Chordata; Aves; Passeriformes; Passeridae
Exons: 3
Source: RefSeq, a predicted model, not a curated record